RNAcentral lists this ribosomal RNA (492 nucleotides) under uncultured bacterium. Its description in RNAcentral is "partial 16S ribosomal RNA". It matches the Rfam family "Bacterial small subunit ribosomal RNA", at positions 29 to 507 of the family's 1533-position model. The record is from RNAcentral.
AGUGAACGCUGGCGGUAGGCCUAACACAUGCAAGUCGAACGGCAGCACAGUAAGAGCUUGCUCUUACGGGUGGCGAGUGGCGGACGGGUGAGGAAUACUUCGGAAUCUACUUUUUCGUGGGGGAUAACGUAGGGAAACUUACGCUAAUACCGCAUACGAUCUACGGGUGAAAGCAGGGGAUCUUCGGACCUUGCGCGAUCGAAUGAGCCGAUGUCGGUUUAGCUAGUUGGCGGGGUAAAGGCCAACCAAGGCGACGAUCCGUAGCUGGUCUGAGGGGAUGGCCAGCCACACUGGAACUGAGACACGGACCAGACACAUACGGGAGGAAAAAGAGGGGAAGAUUGGACAAGGGGGGAAAGCCUAAUCCAGCCAGACGGCGUGGGGGAAGAAGUCCUUCGGGUGGUAAAGCCCGUUUGUUGAGAAGGAAGAGCAGCAGGGUAAGACCCCGCUGUUCUGACGGUACCCAAAGAAAAAGGAACGGCUAACUUCGUG